RNAcentral lists this transfer RNA (76 nucleotides) under Treponema vincentii ATCC 35580. Its description in RNAcentral is "tRNA-Met". It matches the Rfam family "tRNA". Rfam says of the family: Transfer RNA (tRNA) molecules are approximately 80 nucleotides in length. Their secondary structure includes four short double-helical elements and three loops (D, anti-codon, and T loops). Lineage: Bacteria; Pseudomonadati; Spirochaetota; Spirochaetia; Treponematales; Treponemataceae. The record is from RNAcentral.
GGCGGUAUAGCUCAGUCGGUAGAGCAAACGGCUCAUAUCCGUUAGGUCAUAGGUUCAAGCCCUAUUGCCGCUAACC